Molecule: long non-coding RNA, 420 nt
Organism: Aquila chrysaetos chrysaetos
Lineage: Eukaryota; Metazoa; Chordata; Aves; Accipitriformes; Accipitridae
Exons: 3
Source: RefSeq, a predicted model, not a curated record
GCCAAGGAAGGCUGAGCACCUACCGCAGAGAGGAAGACGGGCCACAAAAAUAAACAGGAUAGCAGGUCUUCCAGGGAUAAUAAUUCUGUUUGGCCAGUAAUUCAGAAAACCUGUAGUUACCUUGGCAUAGAGCACUUAACAAAUCUGAUUUUAAGUUUCUGAGAAAGAGAGUACCCUAAACCUUUCCAAGAUCAUUGCUUGUGAAUUCCAAGACCCUCAUCUGCAAAUUUUUCAUCAUUUCAUCAUUUUAUUGGCUUCUGAAAGAAGUAAUGCCUGAGUCAUUUGCAUGACUUCUGCUGGAUCUUGUCCCAUCCAAGGGCCUAAUUAUGGACAGACACAUCAACUUUAAAAAGAAAGUAGACACCAAACACCCUGCUGCAACUGUGACAACACACAACGUACUUUAACUUGGGCGCUGAA